Molecule: ribosomal RNA, 425 nt
Filed under: uncultured bacterium
Lineage: Bacteria
Description: bacterial SSU rRNA
Rfam family: Bacterial small subunit ribosomal RNA
Source: RNAcentral
GAAUAUUGGACAAUGGGCGCAAGCCUGAUCCAGCCAUGCCGCGUGUGUGAAGAAGGCCUUAGGGUUGUAAAGCACUUUCAGCGGGGAGGAAGGGGUGUGUGUUAAUAGCGCACAUCUUUGACGUUACUCGCAGAAGAAGCACCGGCUAACUCCGUGCCAGCAGCCGCGGUAAUACGGAGGGUGCAAGCGUUAAUCGGAAGUACUGGGCGUAAAGCGCACGUAGGCGGUAUGUUAAGUUGGAUGUGAAAGCCCCGGGCUCAACCUGGGAAUUGCAUUCAAAACUGGCAUGCUAGAGUAUGUGAGAGGGGAGUAGAAUUCCAAGUGUAGCGGUGAAAUGCGUAGAGAUUUGGAGGAAUACCAGUGGCGAAGGCGGCCCCCUGGCACAAUACUGACGCUGAGGUGCGAAAGCGUGGGGAGCAAACAGG